This 854-nucleotide ribosomal RNA is filed under the name uncultured bacterium. Its description in RNAcentral is "bacterial SSU rRNA". It matches the Rfam family "Bacterial small subunit ribosomal RNA", at positions 8 to 853 of the family's 1533-position model. The record is from RNAcentral.
AGAGUUUGAUCAUGGCUCAGAUUGAACGCUGGCGGCAGGCUUAACACAUGCAAGUCGAACGGUAACAGGAGAAAGCUUGCUUUCUUGCUGACGAGUGGCGGACGGGUGAGUAAUGCUUGGGAAUCUGGCUUAUGGAGGGGGAUAACUACGGGAAACUGUAGCUAAUACCGCGUAAUAUCUUCGGAUUAAAGGGUGGGACUUUCGGGCCACCUGCCAUAAGAUGAGCCCAAGUGGGAUUAGGUAGUUGGUGGGGUAAAGGCCUACCAAGCCGACGAUCUCUAGCUGGUCUGAGAGGAUGACCAGCCACACUGGAACUGAGACACGGUCCAGACUCCUACGGGAGGCAGCAGUGGGGAAUAUUGCACAAUGGGGGGAACCCUGAUGCAGCCAUGCCGCGUGAAUGAAGAAGGCCUUCGGGUUGUAAAGUUCUUUCGGUGAUGAGGAAGGUGUUUGUUUUAAUAGAACAAGCAAUUGACGUUAGUCACAGAAGAAGCACCGGCUAACUCCGUGCCAGCAGCCGCGGUAAUACGGAGGGUGCGAGCGUUAAUCGGAAUGACUGGGCGUAAAGGGCACGCAGGCGGUGACUUAAGUGAGAUGUGAAAGCCCCGAGCCUAACUUGGGAAUUGCAUUUCAUACUGGGUCGCUAGAGUAUUUUAGGGAGGGGUAGGAUUCCACGUGUAGCGGUGAAAUGCGUAGAGAUGUGGAGGAAUACCGAAGGCGAAGGCAGCCCCUUGGGAAUAUACUGACGCUCAUGUGCGAAAGCGUGGGGAGCAAACAGGAUUAGAUACCCUGGUAGUCCACGCUGUAAACGCUGUCGAUUUGGGGAUUGGGCUUAGAGCUUGGUGCCCGUAGCU